GACGAACGCUGGCGGCGUGCCUAAUACAUGCAAGUUGAGCGCUGAAGGUUGGUACUUGUACCAACUGGAUGAGCAGCGAACGGGUGAGUAACGCGUGGGGAAUCUGCCUUUGAGCGGGGGACAACAUUUGGAAACGAAUGCUAAUACCGCAUAAAAACUUUAAACACAAGUUUUAAGUUUGAAAGAUGCAAUUGCAUCACUAAAAGAUGAUCCCGCGUUGUAUUAGCUAGUUGGUGAGGUAAAGGCUCAACAAGGCGAUGAUACAUAGCCGACCUGAGAGGGUGGUCGGCCACCAUGGGAAUGGGACACGGCCCAAGCUCCUACGGGGGGCAGCAGUAGGGAAUCAUCGGAAAUGGACGAAAGUCUGACCGCGCAACGACGCGGGAGUGAAGAAGGGUCUCGGAUCGUAAAACUCUGUUGGUAGAGAAGAAAGUUGGUGAGAGUGGAAAGCUCAUCAAGUGACGGUAACUACACAGAAAGGGACGGCUAACUACGUG
Molecule: ribosomal RNA, 497 nt
Filed under: uncultured bacterium
Lineage: Bacteria
Description: partial 16S ribosomal RNA
Rfam family: Bacterial small subunit ribosomal RNA
Source: RNAcentral